AGAGUUUGAUCAUGGCUCAGAAUCAACGCUGGCGGCGUGCCUAACACAUGCAAGUCGCACGAGAAAGUGGAGCAAUCCAUGAGUAAAGUGGCGCACGGGUGAGUAACACGUGACUAAUCUACCCUCGAGUGGGGAAUAACUGAGAGAAAUCUUAGCUAAUACCGCAUAACACUUACGAGUCAAAGCAGCAAUGCGCUUGGGGAGGAGGUCGCGGCCGAUUAGUUAGUUGGCGGGGUAAUGGCCCACCAAGACGAUGAUCGGUAUCCGGCCUGAGAGGGCGCACGGACACACUGGAACUGAAACACGGUCCAGACUCCUACGGGAGGCAGCAGUGGGGAAUUUUGCGCAAUGGGGGAAACCCUGACGCAGCAACGCCGCGUGGAGGAUGAAAUAUCUUGGUAUGUAAACUCCUUUCGAUGGGGAAGAUUAUGACGGUACCCAUAGAAGAAGCCCCGGCUAACUUCGUGCCAGCAGCCGCGGUAAUACGAGGGGGGCAAGCGUUGUUCGGAUUUAUUGGGCGUAAAGGGUGCGUAGGCGGUUUGGCAAGUCUUAUGUGAAAUCUUCGGGCUCAACCCGAAGCCUGCAUAAGAAACUGCCGGGCUUGAGUGUGGGAGAGGUGAGUGGAAUUUCCGGUGUAGCGGUGAAAUGCGUAGAUAUCGGAAGGAACACCUGUGGCGAAAGCGGCUCACUGGACCAUAACUGACGCUGAUGCACGAAAGCUAGGGGAGCAAACAGGAUUAGAUACCCUAGUAGUCC
This 756-nucleotide ribosomal RNA is filed under the name uncultured bacterium. Its description in RNAcentral is "bacterial SSU rRNA". It matches the Rfam family "Bacterial small subunit ribosomal RNA", at positions 8 to 796 of the family's 1533-position model. The record is from RNAcentral.